Non-coding RNA from Phrynosoma platyrhinos (Desert horned lizard), 72 nucleotides. The record is from the annotation of a GenBank genome assembly. NCBI's taxonomy places the organism in Eukaryota, Metazoa, Chordata, Lepidosauria, Squamata, Phrynosomatidae.
GGCAGAGUGGUGUAGUGGUUUGUGUGGUGGACUACAACUUUGGAGAUCAGGGUUCGAAUCUCUACUUGGUCA